RNAcentral lists this small RNA (513 nucleotides) under Pongo abelii (Sumatran orangutan). Its description in RNAcentral is "retained intron". The record is from RNAcentral. Lineage: Eukaryota; Metazoa; Chordata; Mammalia; Primates; Hominidae.
GAGGAAAACUGUUACCAGGAUAACCUGUGAUGGGCAAGGAGCCACAAAGAAGAAAACAUUUCUUUUAAUUUUUAAACUUGGUUUGAAAGGUAUCCAAAUAUAUCUUGUGAGUUGCUCACUUCCGAUGUCUCCCAGAUGAAUGAUAGACUGGGAGAAGAUGAAUCCUUGCUAAUGAAAUUAUAUAGCUUCCUCCUAAACGAUUCCCCUUUGAAUCCACUACUUGCCAGUUUCUUCAGCAAGGUGCUAAGUAUUCUUAUCAGCAGAAAACCAGAACAGAUUGUGGAUUUCUUAAAGAAGAAGCAUGAUUUUGUAGACCUUAUUAUAAAGCACAUAGGAACUUCUGCUAUCAUGGAUUUGUUGCUCAGGCUCCUGACGUGUAUUGAACCUCCACAGCCCAGGCAAGAUGUGCUGAAUUGGUUAAAUGAGGAGAAAAUUAUCCAGAGGCUUGUGGAAAUAGUUCAUCCAUCGCAAGAAGAAGAUGUAAGUUCACUUGUGUGACUGUAAACGUGAUUA